Molecule: non-coding RNA, 87 nt
Organism: Vigna radiata var. radiata (mung bean)
Lineage: Eukaryota; Viridiplantae; Streptophyta; Magnoliopsida; Fabales; Fabaceae
Source: Rfam
GGGCUGUGACGAAACUGUGUCCUCUGUGAUGGAUGGGUCUAUCACACUCUUCUGAUCUUUCAGACGAACAGUGACACAUCCGAGCUC